AUGGGUCCUUCACCAGAUGCAAUAGUGUCACGGGCGAGCUUUAAGAGAAACGGGCCAAGAUCCGGGUUAUCCAACGAAGGGUCCGAGAGGAGAGAGUUCGGGUUUGGAGAAUCCGGUGGAGGCUUUUUAGUGGAGCGGGCAGGGGAAGGUUUGGAUCGGGAAGGAGAAGGAGAUGGGGGUUUUUUGGGAGUCGGGGUUCUGGGUGGUGGCUGUUGUUCGGGUCGGGUUGAGGAUCCGGGUAGGAUCUCAGGGACAGAAAUGUGAAGUGGUGGUGCAUCUGGCGGGGUUUUAACAGAGACAAGACCUGGCAUGGUUGUC
This 318-nucleotide long non-coding RNA is filed under the name Populus trichocarpa (black cottonwood). RNAcentral's name for it is "long non-coding RNA (PTRI_LNC000991)". Lineage: Eukaryota; Viridiplantae; Streptophyta; Magnoliopsida; Malpighiales; Salicaceae. The record is from RNAcentral.